RNAcentral lists this ribosomal RNA (484 nucleotides) under uncultured bacterium. RNAcentral describes it as "partial 16S ribosomal RNA". It matches the Rfam family "Bacterial small subunit ribosomal RNA", at positions 28 to 507 of the family's 1533-position model. The record is from RNAcentral.
AUUGAACGCUGGCGGCAUGCUUUACACAUGCAAGUCGAACGGCAGCGCGGGCUUCGGCCUGGCGGCGAGUGGCGAACGGGUGAGUAAUGCAUCGGAACGCGCCCAGUAGUGGGGGAUAGCCCGGCGAAAGCCGGAUUAAUACCGCAUACGACCUGAGGGUGCAAGCGGGGGACCGAAAGGCCUCGCGCUAUUGGAGCGGCCGAUGUCGGAUUAGCUAGUUGGUGGGGUAAAGGCUUACCAAGGCGACGAUCCGUAGCUGGUCUGAGAGGACGACCAGCCACACUGGGACUGGGACACGGCCCAGACUCCUACGGGAGGCAGCAGUGGGGAAUUUUGGACAAUGGGGGCAACCCUGAUCCAGCCAUGCCGCGUGCGGGAAGAAGGCCUUCGGGUUGUAAACCGCUUUUGUUCGGGAAGAAAUCCUCUGGGCUAAUACCCCGGGGGGAUGACGGUACCGGAAGAAUAAGCACCGGCUAACUACGUG